This 497-nucleotide ribosomal RNA is filed under the name uncultured bacterium. RNAcentral's name for it is "partial 16S ribosomal RNA". It matches the Rfam family "Bacterial small subunit ribosomal RNA", at positions 28 to 507 of the family's 1533-position model. The record is from RNAcentral.
GAUGAACGCUGGCGGCGUGCCUAAUACACGCAAGUCGAGCGAACAGACGAGGAGCUUGCUCCUUCGACGUUAGCGGCGGACGGGUGAGUAACACGUAGGUAACCUACCUAUAAGACUGGGAUAACUUCGGGAAACCGGAGCUAAUACCGGAUAAUAUUUCGAACCGCAUGGUUCGAUAGUGAAAGAUGGCUUUGCUAUCACUUAUAGAUGGACCUGCGCCGUAUUAGCUAGUUGGUAAGGUAACGGCUUACCAAGGCAACGAUACGUAGCCGACCUGAGAGGGUGAUCGGCCACACUGGAACUGAGACACGGUCCAGACUCCUACGGGAGGCAGCAGUAGGGAAUCUUCCGCAAUGGGCGAAAGCCUGACGGAGCAACGCCGCGUGAGUGAUGAAGGUCUUCGGAUCGUAAAACUCUGUUAUUAGGGAAGAACAAACGUGUAAGUAACUGUGCACGUCUUGACGGUACCUAAUCAGAAAGCCACGGCUAACUACGUG